GAUGAACGCUAGCGGCAGGCUUAAUACAUGCAAGUCGAGGGGUAUCAAGGUACACGAAAGUGUAUUGUUGGCGACCGGCGGACGGGUGAGUAAUAGGUAGGUAACCUACCUCAUACUGAGGCAUAGCUGGGAGAAAUUCCAGGUAAUUCCUCAUGAGGUUAUAUGACACAUGUGAUAUAAUCAAAGGUAUCGCAAGGUACUGGUAUGAGAUGGGCUUACUGACCAUUAGCUAGUUGGUGAGAUAAGAGCUCACCAAGGCGAAGAUGGUUAGGGGUUUUGAGAGAGAUCCCCCACAUUGGAACUGAGAUACGGUCCAGACUCCUACGGGAGGCAGCAGUAGGGAAUAUUGGGCAAUGGGCGGAAGCCUGACCCAGCCAUGCCGCGUGAAGGAAGACGGCCUUAUGGGUUGUAAACUUCUUUACUAUGCGACUAACUAGAUUUACGAGAUAAUUCUAUAGAAUGUAGCAUAGCAAAAAGCACCGGCUAACUCCG
This 492-nucleotide ribosomal RNA is filed under the name uncultured bacterium. Its description in RNAcentral is "bacterial SSU rRNA". It matches the Rfam family "Bacterial small subunit ribosomal RNA", at positions 28 to 505 of the family's 1533-position model. The record is from RNAcentral.